Rattus norvegicus (Norway rat) is the source of this 887-nucleotide non-coding RNA. The record is from RefSeq and is a predicted model, not a curated record. NCBI's taxonomy places the organism in Eukaryota, Metazoa, Chordata, Mammalia, Rodentia, Muridae.
UUCCCACCGAUUACAUGCAAGUCAGGCGCUGCGCUGAAGAGAUCAUUUUCGAAUAUCGACCUCUACGCCACACACCUGCGAAUAACACGCAUGCGCUUUCUCUCCCCAUCCCUCCUUUGCUUUUAUUAUAACUUUGUUGGCUUCUUUCUUUAGAAGCAGAGACACUUGAAAUUGCAUUUUUUUUCCGACUUUUUGUUUUAUAAAUGGAGAAAAGGCAAUAUUUGAUUCCAUUGUAACCGGAGGCUAACUUUCUCUCAUCAUUCACCCGGUGUUUUGGAACGGAGUUAAGGCAGCCACUUAGGGCCGAGCAUGGAGGCAGAGGAUCAAUUCUGCUUGGAAAUCGGAUGUUUACCCGGAAGCAAACAGAAGUGCCAUCAGGUGUAAGACUGAAACCCUGCCCUGCUGUCUCCUUACCGUGGUUUUCUCCAGGCAGUGAAGCAGGUGGUGGUGUUGUGUCUCGAAGCUGGAUCCAGAUUUGCUAACGAAGGCCGGUUCAUCCUCCGAGGACUGUAACACAGGGAAGACACAGAACUUUCUCUUUAAAUUGCAGACUCGGAGAAUCUGGGCUACACACGUGCGCAGAGCUACCUGGCCUGUUUUCCGAGAUUAACCAGAGGCACUGACUAACUAAAAAAAGACAAAUGUGUAAUUAAGUCUGGGUGAUCAGCGGACGCAUUUCCAUUUGGUCUUUUAAGCUUAUAUCUCCUUGAAUUGGAAAUUCAAGUCCCUAUUACUCAGAGUUUAUUAAGUUCUACUUUGAUCUUGUGACCUUUGUAACACUUACUGAAUGCUACGCUUUCUCUAUCAGAAAUAGAGGAAGAUAGCAGAUCUCCCCUUGACCCCCUAUCAAACUGUACAUAUGUAAUUCUGAAAUAAAAGCAAUUAAA